CUACGGGCGGCAGCAGGCGAGAAAACUUUGCAAUGUGCGAAAGCACGACAAGGUUAAUCCGAGUGGUUUCUGCUAAAGGAACCUUUUGUCGGUCCUAGAAACACCGAUGAAUAAGGGGUGGGCAAGUUCUGGUGUCAGCCGCCGCGGUAAAACCAGCACCUCAAGUGGUCAGGAUGAUUAUUGGGCCUAAAGCAUCCGUAGCCUGCUUUGUUAGUUUUCGGUUAAAUCUGUACGCUCAACGUACAGGCUGCCGGGAAUACUGCAAAGCUAGGGAGUGGGAGAGGUAGACGGUACUCGGUAGGAGGGGGUAAAAUCCUUUGAUCUAUUGAUGACCACCUGUGGCGAAGGCGGUCUGCCAGAACACGUCCGACGGUGAGGGAUGAAAGCUGGGGGAGCAAACCGGAUUAGAUACCCGAGUAGUC
Molecule: ribosomal RNA, 422 nt
Filed under: uncultured archaeon
Lineage: Archaea
Description: partial 16S ribosomal RNA
Rfam family: Archaeal small subunit ribosomal RNA
Source: RNAcentral